RNAcentral lists this ribosomal RNA (523 nucleotides) under uncultured bacterium. RNAcentral describes it as "bacterial SSU rRNA". It matches the Rfam family "Bacterial small subunit ribosomal RNA", at positions 355 to 896 of the family's 1533-position model. The record is from RNAcentral.
UGGGGAAUAUUGGACAAUGGGCGCAAGCCUGAUCCAGCCAUGCCGCGUGAGUGAUGAAGGCCCUAGGGUUGUAAAGCUCUUUUGUGCGGGAAGAUAAUGACGGUACCGCAAGAAUAAGCCCCGGCUAACUUCGUGCCAGCAGCCGCGGUAAUACGAAGGGGGCUAGCGUUGCUCGGAAUCACUGGGCGUAAAGGGUGCGUAGGCGGGUCUUUAAGUCAGGGGUGAAAUCCUGGAGCCCAACUCCAGAACUGCCUUUGAUACUGAAGAUCUUGAGUUCGGGAGAGGUGAGUGGAACUGCGAGUGUAGAGGUGAAAUUCGUAGAUAUUCGCAAGAACACCAGUGGCGAAGGCGGCUCACUGGCCCGAUACUGACGCUGAUGCACGAAAGCGUGGGGAGCAAACAGGAUUAGAUACCCUGGUAGUCCACGCCGUAAACGACGAAUGCCAGCCGUUAGUGGGUUUACUCACUAGUGGCGCAGCCAACGCUUUAAGCAUUCCGCCUGGGGAGUACGGUCGCAAGAUUA